This 78-nucleotide ribosomal RNA is filed under the name Desmophyllum pertusum. Its description in RNAcentral is "partial 5.8S ribosomal RNA". It matches the Rfam family "5.8S ribosomal RNA", at positions 1 to 72 of the family's 154-position model. Rfam says of the family: 5.8S ribosomal RNA (5.8S rRNA) is a component of the large subunit of the eukaryotic ribosome. Lineage: Eukaryota; Metazoa; Cnidaria; Anthozoa; Scleractinia; Caryophylliidae. The record is from RNAcentral.
AGAUACAACUUUUGACGGUGGAUCUCUUGGCUCACGCAUCGAUGAAGAACGCAGCCAGCUGCGAUAAGUAGUGUGAAU